Molecule: long non-coding RNA, 350 nt
Filed under: Capsicum annuum
Lineage: Eukaryota; Viridiplantae; Streptophyta; Magnoliopsida; Solanales; Solanaceae
Description: long non-coding RNA (CANN_LNC007478)
Source: RNAcentral
GUUGAGGCACUUCUUCGAUAGUCCUUAUAUGUCUGCCUUACCGAUCUGAAGAAUUCAUGAUUUAUAUAUAUUUUAGGGCGGUGAGAGGAAGUGCAAAAUAAGGAUUGAUUUCGCAUAACGGAAUGGUGCCAUAAACACAUCUAACAAAAGUUGUUAGCAGCUACAAAAAUGCACUUUGACAAAGAGUGUUAAGUUAUUCGGAGAUUAACUAUCUCGGGAUUAGUUACGUCACACUCAAGGAGGGAUAAAAAUAAUGAUAUAAUCUCGAAAUAACUAAUCUGGGGAUGAUUUAUCCCAUGUUUUUAUCUCAACCAAACAUGAAGUAAACUUAUCCUAAAAUUAAUCUCGAA